CAGUGUUUUGGGAAUAUUAGCAUUUGUCUAGCAGAGAGGCACCCAGUCUCUUUCCAGGCAGCAUUUCUAGAAUUUUGAGUUAUGUGAGGGUGGGAUGGGGAUCUGAAAAUCAUGAAUUUAGAGAGAUUCCAGCAUGUGGAAGACAACAUGAGUCAAGAGUUCUCAUAAUUUUUAAUUAGGCACCAAAACUCCAUUUGUAUCUUGUUUUAAGGGCCUAUGUCCUUUUCAGACUAUGAAGUCAUUAAAAAGUACUUAUGUUUUCAUCUUUAACAAAUAUGAUUUCAAACCCUGACCCUGAAAUUAUUUUAAUGGAUCUCUUAAACCUAAUCUAGAUUUGGAAAUUCCUCCUUGAGUUAUGCCUUCUUCACUCUUCUCUAAUUAGCAGUGCAGUCAGGCUAUUGAUGAAAAGCAGGUUGUUUCUUCAUGUGAAGACCAUCUUCCAGCACAUCACUACUCCUACCCCAGAUGGCAACUCCUUGUCAGCCUGAGCUGCAAUUUGGACUUUUCUGUGAGUUGGGAGAGACAGCCACAUCCCUGCUCUGAGCUACAGCAAAGGGCCAUGUGUGCACCAGGACUCUGUAACUCAUUUAAACUCUUAUGAGGAAAAGAAAGAAAAAACCCUGAAGCUCUAGAGACUUAGUACAUUGCUACAAGUUUGUAGGAGGUUUGCAAUCGAGCAGCUAUGAACAGCACUGCCUUGGUGUUUGCCACCUCGCAACACUGGUGAGACAGAAAAGCACAGAAGCAUUUGAGAGAAGUUUUUAAAGUUCUGGUGAAGACAGAUCAUUCCACCCCCCGGAUAAGAACUGCCACAAACACACAGAUGCAGCUCUGAGGAAUUUCUCCCAUUAUGGUAAGUUAGGGUAUUUUGUGCAACUUAUUGCAACACAUAUUUUUCCUUAUUUUAGAAUUACCAUUAUU
RNAcentral lists this long non-coding RNA (921 nucleotides) under Corvus moneduloides (New Caledonian crow). Its description in RNAcentral is "lncRNA (ENSCMUG00000019873.1)". Lineage: Eukaryota; Metazoa; Chordata; Aves; Passeriformes; Corvidae. The record is from RNAcentral.